GGGUCGUUAGCUCAGUUGGUAGAGCAGUUGACUUUUAAUCAAUUGGUCGCAGGUUCGAAUCCUGCAGGACCCACCA
This 76-nucleotide transfer RNA is filed under the name Escherichia coli. RNAcentral describes it as "tRNA-Lys". It matches the Rfam family "tRNA". Rfam says of the family: Transfer RNA (tRNA) molecules are approximately 80 nucleotides in length. Their secondary structure includes four short double-helical elements and three loops (D, anti-codon, and T loops). Further hydrogen bonds mediate the characteristic L-shaped molecular structure. tRNAs have two regions of fundamental functional importance: the anti-codon, which is responsible for specific mRNA codon recognition, and the 3' end, to which the tRNAs corresponding amino acid is attached (by aminoacyl-tRNA synthetases). tRNAs cope with the degeneracy of the genetic code in two manners: having more than one tRNA (with a specific anti-codon) for a particular amino acid; and 'wobble' base-pairing, i.e. permitting non-standard base-pairing at the 3rd anti-codon position. The record is from RNAcentral. RNAcentral also lists the same sequence under 1 other name. Lineage: Bacteria; Pseudomonadati; Pseudomonadota; Gammaproteobacteria; Enterobacterales; Enterobacteriaceae.